Molecule: transfer RNA, 89 nt
Filed under: Amniculicola lignicola CBS 123094
Lineage: Eukaryota; Fungi; Ascomycota; Dothideomycetes; Pleosporales; Amniculicolaceae
Description: tRNA-Val
Source: RNAcentral
GGCUUGGUGGUGUAGUUGGUUAUCACGUCAGUCUAACAAUCACUGUUGGAGUUCACUGAAGGUCCCGAGAUCGAGCCUCGGCCGAGUCA